RNAcentral lists this ribosomal RNA (734 nucleotides) under uncultured Planctomycetota bacterium. RNAcentral describes it as "bacterial SSU rRNA". It matches the Rfam family "Bacterial small subunit ribosomal RNA", at positions 30 to 801 of the family's 1533-position model. The record is from RNAcentral. Lineage: Bacteria; Pseudomonadati; Planctomycetota.
CGAACGCUGGCGGCAUGGCUAAAACAUGCAAGUCGAAGGAGAAGCCCCUUCGGGGGUGGACACUGGCGAAAGGGCGAGGAAUACGUUCGAACGUGCCCCGAGGUGGGGGAUAGCGUCGGGAAACUGGCGGUAAUACCCCAUGUGAUCUACGGAUGAAAGCUACGGUGCCUUGGGAGCGGCGAACGUCCUAUCAGGUUGUUGGUGAGGUAACGGCUCACCAAGCCGAAGACGGGUAGCGGGUGUGAGAGCAUGACCCGCCGCAUCGGAACUGAGACACUGUCCGGACUCCUACGGGAGGCUGCAGUAACGGAUCUUCCGCAAUGCACGAAAGUGUGACGGAGCAAUGCCGCGUGUGGGACGAAGCGGUUACGCCGUGUAAACCACUGUCAGGUUCUCGAAAGAACUGAUCAGAACCAGAGGAAGGGCCGGCUAAUCUCGUGCCAGCAGCCGCGGUAAGACGAGAGGCCCGAGCGUUGAGCGGAAUCACUGGGCUUAAAGGGUGCGUAGGCGGACCGGCAGGUGCUUUGUGAAAGCCCACGGCUCAACCGUGGAAUUGCAGGGCAAACCGCCGGUCUUGAGGCAGGUAGAGGUCGUCGGAACGUUGGGUGGAGCGGUGAAAUGCGUAGAGAUCCAACGGAACGCCAAAGGUGAAGACAGGCGACUGGGCCUGACCUGACGCUGAGGCACGAAAGCGUGGGGAGCAAACAGGAUUAGAUACCCUGGUAGUCCACGCC